Molecule: small RNA, 92 nt
Filed under: Escherichia coli
Lineage: Bacteria; Pseudomonadati; Pseudomonadota; Gammaproteobacteria; Enterobacterales; Enterobacteriaceae
Also listed under: 2 other names
Description: partial RtT sRNA
Rfam family: RtT RNA
About the family: This family represents a bacterial cis-regulatory element known as RtT RNA.
Source: RNAcentral
GUUCGACUUGAGCGCCAGCGAGAGAGCGUUGCCGCAGGCAACGACCCGAAGGGCGAAGCGCGCAGCGCUGAGUAAUCCUUCCCCCACCACCA